UUUAGUAAAUAUUGGUUGUAUAAUUUCUAAAAGAAUAUCAUUGUAAUAUGAUUGUAUCAAUUUUGAAUACAGAGAUGGAUUUCGUCUCAUAUGGUAUCAGAGCAACAUUUUUUUUGAAGUCCUGUUUGAGUCUUCUGUGUGCUUUGAUUUCUUUCCUCCCCACAAUGCUUUCACUCUAUGUCUCGAUCUCCCUCUCAAAACUACUCCAUCUCUCUCAGUACAGUUUCUCUCUCUCUUGAUCUCUUCCGACGAAAUCUGUCUGGAAUCUCUACUAAAAAGAUCACCUGUGCAACCUGCUGUGCUUACUGCUGUCAUCCGCGCCGGAAUCUGGCUGGAAUCUCGGCCCCAAAUUUCUCUAUUUUCUUGCCCCUAAAUUUCUCUACUUUUCGCAUUGGAAUCUGGUCAAAACUGUCUCUCUCUCUAUUGAUCUCUCCCAACGAAAUCUGGUCGGAAUCUGACCGGAAUCGCCUGUGCUUGCAACCUGUUGUCAGCCCUCUGUGAUUUCUGGCCGAAAUCUGAUCGGAAUCUCUACUAAGAUCGUCAGUGCCACCCUCUAUGGUUUCUGGCUGAAAUCAGUACGGGAAUCAGCUUCUGAAUUCGCUGCCUUCUUUAUGCCGGAAUCUUGUCUCUCAAUCUCUGUUCUCGAUCUCCGACCACCCUCUCUCUGAUCUCCCUCUCUCUCUCAUUGCAAUCUCUCUCUUUCUCUCAUUUGUUCGCUAUUUCUCUUGCUGCUUUCUCUCUCUACAGAUCUCUCUCUCGCUGCAAUCUCCCGCUCUCUCCCUUGGUUCUCUUGCUUGCUCUCUCGUCUCUCUGUUCUCUAUCUCUUAACCCUCUGUUCUCUGUCAACUCUGUGUUUUCUCCUCAUCUGCAACUCGAUCCCUUUUUCUCUCUUUUACCUUUUGCACUCUUUGUUUUCUCCUUUUGCACUCCCGACCUUUUGCCCUCUUUGUUUUCUCCUUUUGCACUCUCGACCUCAUUUCCAACUCUUUGUUCUCUUCAUUUGCAACUCUCUACCUUUUUCUCUCAUUUACAAGAGGGACCACCUUGUGUACUAUUCCC
RNAcentral lists this long non-coding RNA (1059 nucleotides) under Amborella trichopoda. Its description in RNAcentral is "long non-coding RNA (ATRI_LNC003714)". The record is from RNAcentral. Lineage: Eukaryota; Viridiplantae; Streptophyta; Magnoliopsida; Amborellales; Amborellaceae.